AGCCUCGAAGUGUUUAACAUAUUAGAUUGCAAAUCUAAAGUCGCACAUGAAAAGUGUGCCGGGGCUU
Molecule: transfer RNA, 67 nt
Filed under: Inimicus japonicus (devil stinger)
Lineage: Eukaryota; Metazoa; Chordata; Actinopteri; Perciformes; Synanceiidae
Description: tRNA-Cys
Source: RNAcentral